RNAcentral lists this ribosomal RNA (440 nucleotides) under uncultured bacterium. Its description in RNAcentral is "partial 16S ribosomal RNA". It matches the Rfam family "Bacterial small subunit ribosomal RNA", at positions 338 to 795 of the family's 1533-position model. The record is from RNAcentral.
CCUACGGGAGGCAGCAGUGGGGAAUAUUGCACAAUGGGGGAAACCCUGAUGCAGCGACGCCGCGUGAAGGAAGAAGUAUUUCGGUAUGUAAACUUCUAUCAGCAGGGAAGAAAAUGACGGUACCUGUCUAAGAAGCCCCGGCUAACUACGUGCCAGCAGCCGCUGUAAUACGUUGGGGGCAGGCGUUAUCCGGAUUUAAUGGGUGUAAAGGGGGCGUUGGCGGUGCAGCAAGUCAGAAGUGAAAGCCCGGGGCUCAACUCCGGGACUGCUUUUGAAACUGUUGAACUAGAGUGCAGGAGAGGUAAGUGGAAUUCCUGGUGUAGCGGUGAAAUGCGUAGAUAUUAGGAAGAACACCAGUGGCGAAGGCAGCAUACUGGACUGCAAAUGACGCUGAGGCACGAAAGCGUGGGGAUCGAACAGGAUUAGAUACCCCAGUAGUC